GAUGAACGCUGGCGGCAUGCCUAACACAUGCAAGUCGAGCGGCAGCACGAUAAGGUCGUUCUCUUACGGUUAGCGGCGGACGGGUGAGUAACACGUACAUAACCUGCCACUUAUUCUGGGAUAACAUCGUGAAACAAAUUAUACUAAUGGAUGAUAUUACGAACGGGUUAGUUCAUGAGAUCUUGGCACUUUGCUCGUCUCUGGGAGCCGGUGUCGUAUUAGCUAGUUGGUGGGGUAAGGGCACACCAAGGCGACGCUACGUAGCUUAUCUGAGAGGAGGAUCAGCCACACUGGAACUGAGACACGGUCCAGACUCCUACGGGAGGCAGCAGUGGGGAAUAUUGGACAAUGGGCGGAAGCCUGAUCUAGCCACGCCGCGUGGGUGAAGAAGGUCUUCGGGUUGUAAAGCUCUUUUGUUGGGAAAGAAAAGUAGUGGGUGAAACUGCUGACGUUUUGACGGUACCAAACGAAUAAGCAACGGCUAACUUCGUG
Molecule: ribosomal RNA, 492 nt
Filed under: uncultured bacterium
Lineage: Bacteria
Description: partial 16S ribosomal RNA
Rfam family: Bacterial small subunit ribosomal RNA
Source: RNAcentral